CAAUAGCGUAUAUUAAAGUUGUUGCAGUUAAAAAGCUCGUAGUUGAAUUUUUGCUUGCCGCCGAUGUCGGAACUUCCGUACGUUCGGCGGCGUGCAUCCUUGGGUGGAACCCGUGUGGCAUUAGGUUGUCGUGCAGGGGAUGCUCAUCGUUUACUGUGAAAAAAUUAGAGUGUUCAAAGCAGGCUUACGCCGUUGAAUAUAUUAGCAUGGAAUAAUAAGAUAGGACCUUGGUACUAUUUUGUUGGUUUGCGCACCGAGGUAAUGAUUAACAGGGACAGUUGGGGGUAUUCGUAUUCCAUUGUCAGAGGUGAAAUUCUUGGAUUUCUGGAAGACGAACUACUGCGAAAGCAUUUGCCAAGGAUGUUUUCAUUGA
This 373-nucleotide ribosomal RNA is filed under the name uncultured eukaryote. Its description in RNAcentral is "partial 18S ribosomal RNA". It matches the Rfam family "Eukaryotic small subunit ribosomal RNA", at positions 592 to 976 of the family's 1831-position model. The record is from RNAcentral.